This 249-nucleotide ribosomal RNA is filed under the name uncultured bacterium. RNAcentral's name for it is "partial 16S ribosomal RNA". It matches the Rfam family "Bacterial small subunit ribosomal RNA", at positions 15 to 257 of the family's 1533-position model. The record is from RNAcentral.
GAUCAUGGCUCAGGAUGAACGCUAGCGACAGGCUUAACACAUGCAAGUCGAGGGGCAGCGAGGGAGUGGCAACACUUCUGUCGGCGACCGGCGCACGGGUGAGUAACGCGUAUGCAACCUGCCCUUCACAGGGGGAUAACCGGGAGAAACUUCCGACUAAUACCGCAUACGUCCUUUGGGGGCAUCCCCGGGGGAUGAAAGAAUUAUCGGUGAAGGAUGGGCAUGCGUGAUAUUAGGUAGUUGGCGGGG